ACAAAACCUUAAACGAAACUGAGCAGAUCUGAGAAAAUGAAAGAUAAGACAGAGAGAGGGAAGAAAAUCAGGAAACCCUAAACCCUCAGAACGAAGCCUCAGAUCUAUGACAAAGAAGAAACGCUCCCCGGGCCGCAUAAUGGCAUUGGCUCUGUGAUCGGAACCUUCGUUGGAGAUCAGAGACAUGAGCAUGAAGAAAGGCGACGAGGCAAGAAAAGCUCUUUAACUCCUCGAUGGCGGCCAUGGUUCAAGAACUUGCAGUUGAAAUCGGGCAGUAUUUAACACCGACACCAGAGAUCUGAUGGGGCAAGGUAUGGGGGUUCCAGGACCCGUCAAAGUUGAUUUUGGAAUUUAGGGUUUACUUAGGCUAUGGUUUAGCGAGAUCAUUGAUUUUGAUUUGAUGGAGCGAUAGGCCUGAGGCAUUGUCAGUCUUUAAUUCAAUGCAUUAAUGCGUUUGCUGUUUGCUUCCAUUUCAGUUACACUCCAUGGCAGCUUGCUCAAGAUGUGAUGUGGAUUGAUAGAGGCACUGACAGCGGGUCUUCCAUAUCUUUUAAGGUUUUACUCCUUACUCAUUCAAGCAUGUAGAUGUUUUUUCUUUUGUUAAUUAUCUUUUUCUGUUUUUUUUUAAGCGGAUACAAAAUGAACAAAAAUAAGUUUUCAGAGUCAAAUAGCAUAAUAUUGUUGAAAACGUGAACAAUUCAUCUGACAAAAACAAAAUUGGCACACACGAAUGAUCGAAUGGGUGAGCUUUGAAAUAGCAUAUUUUUGUUGAAUAAUGUAUCAGCUAGAGGCUUGAUAUUGGGGAGUGGGGAUGGUAUCUUACAUAUAGAAUCAGGAACAUUGUGCCAUUACAUCAUUGAUACACAGUUGUGUGGUGAAUUUAAAAGUAAUCAUUUGUAGCAAAAUCGGAUGGUCUAAUAAGCAUGCACAGCUUUUAUAUUCGACCACUUAAUGUUUAGAUGAUGGUGCUUCUCUAACUUUGAAUGUAACAUGAAGUGAAAGACAUUAGAACGUGAAAAAUCAUAAAUGGGUUAGUUCAUUAUUCAAACUCACUGUUCUAGGCAAUGUCAUUCUUAACUUUUCAAGUUAGGAUGAGAAUGGAGAGGAGUCUUUGAAGUUCUCCGUAUUUUCUUUUGCAUCUAUACACCCAAGCAAUGUUUAUGGGUUAUUAGCAUGGAAAUAAAAUUUGGUGGAGUAAAUUUCAUGGUGCUAAAUUUUAUCUGGCCACAUUGUCAAAUAUCUACCGAGGAUAGAUUGGCAGUUAUAAUUUUAGGAAGUGUUUCAGGUUUCUAUACUCAUUUACUAGAAGAGAAGUCUACUCUCUCUCUCUCUCUCUCUCUCUCUCUCUCUCUCUCUCUCUCUCUCUCUGUGUUCUGUUAUAUUUCCUAGUUGGUACACAUCAAUCUUAAUUGGAUAUAGUAUCUCAUCAUAACUGUAUAUCAUUCAUUUUUUAUUAUCUAUUGACAUUUACCUUUGGAUUGGGUAAAAGUUGGAAGAUAUAAUAAUUUCUGUUUUAUUUUUAUUUCCGUGUAUUAGCAGUUAUUUAUUUUGGUAGUUCAUUUUUGUUUAAAAUGAAAGUUAUGAAUAUACAAAUGUAGUAAUAGAGUAUUUUAAAAUGUUUCUUCAGUAUGUUGUGCUCUGGUUUGUGAUCAUUAACAUUUGGUGGUUAUCCUUAUCCUACACCAAAUGUUCUUCCUAUAAGUUGCAACCUCUUGCAUUUAAAAUAAAAGAACCUGUUGUUCUUUGUUCCUUUUUGGUUAUUGACAUAGCGAACAUUACUUCCUAAGAUUCCCAUUUGUUGCAUUUUAACUCUUCGUCCAAAGAGUUUUGUCUACUUUUUGAAGACAUUAUUCGUUUCUGAAAUGCCAGCUGGAGUCUGUUACUGUUAGCCUUUUAUUUUGUAGGUAAUUUUUGAGGGUUAAUGUUUCUUCGAGAGACAGGCAAGAAGUUUCAUGAUGUUUUUUCUUAGUUUGUUUGUUGGCGUGACACUUUUCUUAUGUUUGUUUGCUGUGUUGUACACUUGCACAUUCAUUAUGUUCCUGAGUUAUGUGCUUCGGUUCAACUACCAUCUGGUUUAUUUCAGUCUUAUUUCAAUUGUUAUUAAUUCUGAUGGUUAUAAUUUAUUAAUUGUUUUAACUGUUUUUUUUCCCCAGGAUAUCUGAAACCAGAAGCUAGCAGGACUUCGCCUCAAACUUCCUUUUGUUUUGUUUUUUUGACAAAUUUGAUCUCAUUUCAAUCAAAAGAAGUCUGUAAUAUAAUUUCUUUUUUUUUUGGGGUAAAAAUAAAUUCUUUUAUUUUAGUGCCGCGGAUUGUAAUUAGGCUGCAUUGUAAUUAUUCUUUGUAUGCAUGGUUUUCUUGUUCUUCCGUGGGCCGCUCGGAAAUAAAAUAGGCCCUAAGAUUUG
This 2402-nucleotide long non-coding RNA is filed under the name Prunus dulcis (almond). RNAcentral describes it as "sRNA ncRNA". The record is from RNAcentral. Lineage: Eukaryota; Viridiplantae; Streptophyta; Magnoliopsida; Rosales; Rosaceae.